This is an RNA transcript of Hordeum vulgare subsp. vulgare (domesticated barley), 5057 nucleotides long. It is a transcript of the gene named glycine-rich protein DOT1-like, with no coding region annotated. The transcript is spliced from 2 exons. Lineage: Eukaryota; Viridiplantae; Streptophyta; Magnoliopsida; Poales; Poaceae. The record is from RefSeq and is a predicted model, not a curated record.
UUUAAUCUAUUCAUCUUGAGUCAUCGUAGUACAACGAAAACUAGAUAAAUCAAUUACACGUAAUGCAACCAAAACUAGCAUCUAACAUCUCAAUGGCCUACAUAAAUCAAUUACAUAGACCCGUUUACUAAGAGCAUCUCCAACAGCUAGUCUAAAAAGGUGUCUAUAGUUGUUUAGACCACGAAGGCAAAAAAAAAAAAAAUGAGCCUCCAACAGCUCGUCCAUACUGAGGUCUAAACUUUGACGUCGUCCAAAUCGAGCUCCACAACGUCCAGCCCUAACGAUGUGGACCCAUCGUCCAUAGCGAACGGGGCGCCAGAUUUCACCUUCGCGCCAAGAAGGAGGAAGUGGCGCGCAAUGCCGUCGUGCAGCGCCAACGCUGAGGUACGUCCCUUUAAAUGCAGGGGGAGGGGGUGAAGUCACGCUCUGAGGUGGAGGGGAGGGUGGAUCCCAUCGCCGCCACACUCUGGGGUGGAGGGGAGGGUGGAUCCCGCCGCCGCCGCGCUCUAGGGUGGAGGGGAGGGCGGAUCCCGCCGACGCCGCGCUCUGAGGUGGAGGGGAGGGCGGAUCCCGCCGCCGUCGCGCUAUGGGGUGGAGGGGAGUGCGGAUCCCGUCGCCGCCGCGCUCUGGGUGGAGUGAAGGGCGGAUCCCGCGGCCGCUGGAGAGGGAGGAAUGGGCGCAGGGGGAAGGAGUGGGUCGUCGCGCAGCGGGUGGGAGGAACGGGCGCAGGGGAAGGGAGGAAGGAACAGACACAUGGGGAGGGAGGAAGGAACGGACGCAGGGGAGGGAGGAACGGGAGCAAGGAAUGCAUUUGGACUGAAGUCGACGGGGAGCUCAAGUGUGAGAAAUGGACUCGGGAUGAUGGCGCCAAGUCAAAGGAAUAAUCAUCAAACAUAAAUAGCUGCUCGACAGCUUGAUCGGCAAUCCGGAGAUGGCAAGGCGCAUGUUUCUGUCAAUCUGUUGAUUUGGGAAGAAAAGUGUCCUGUUCUUGGGUAUGACCAACAAAGAGUGUCCUUUUUUUGCUUAUUCAGGUGAGCUUUUUGUCUCUUUGUUCUUUUUUGUUUUGUUUACUCUAUGUCAUAUGCUGUGGUGGAAGGACCUGUGUUAAAGCUAGGUGGGUUGGAUAUAUUUUUGUCAUACAAGCAAUGUACUGAUAUUAUAUGUGAGGCAAUUCUACAAUAAUUAGUGAUGCAAUUCUGCAGUCAGUUUUUCAACCGGCUAAAACAAAGCAAACAACUUGGUCUGCCUAUGAUUUUUGCUCGAGCUGUGAAUUUGCUUGAUGGAGUCUCGGUAUGCUUUUCUUCACCUUUACCUUGCAACACCAAAAAUAAUUUUCUUCACCUUUACCCAUCAACACCACAAAUUUGUGGAUGUGGUAGUUGAACUCGAUAUCCUUGCAAUACAAUUCAACAUUCAUCAAAGCUCCAUUUCUAGCUGACCAAACAAUAAGUUUGCGCCACUCUCUCACGCAAUAUAUAUUUAUCCAAAGUACAUUAGUGACCAAGAACUUUCCUGAUAUGCUGGCAUUGACAUUGUUUUCUGUUCUCUUACACAUGUGGCUUUCAUUAAACAAGAAUCUUACUGAAUAAAAAACACAUUGUUCCUUAUAUGCUAUGUAAUUUCAAUCGAAGUGAUGGCGGUUGUAGGCCUGGAUCAUACACAUAAUGCCAUCUUCUGCUAUCUUUUUUAGGCUUCACUCACAUCCAUUGUAGAGAUGCAAUUUUUUAGUCUGCUGUGCAGUCAAGAACUUGAGCACCGCACAUAUGAAAUGAAGUAAUUAUAUUAACAAUAAGAUCAAGGUUCAUCACUAAGUUGGAUACAGUAAAAAUAAAUUUGUUGUUUCUCAAGCCUAGCAAGAAGUGUUUUACACACAUGUUAUUUAUCUCUAUUUAUGCCAACAGAUAGAUUAAGGUGAAUUUGCUGAAAAGAGGUAAAAGAAUUACAGGUUCCUUCUAUGUCUUCCUGCCAUACGAGCCAUUGUUCUUUGGAUCAUCUACAAACCUCACACAAGUAACGUUGAGUUGAUAAAAGCAAGCAAAAGUAACUUUGACCGAGCUAUUUUAAUUUUUCCUUUUUGUGAAACUUUGGUAGACAUGGCAAUAAUAACAUUACUUUCACAAAAUUACUAUAGAUUAGGGUAAUUAUACUUGUAACAUUUAUCAGAGUUGGAUAUGAGUAGUGUUGCAUAGUGGCACCCGGAGGAAGUUUUAUGAAUAUUUUUGCCCGUUGCAACGCACGGGCACAUGUACUAGUCUAUACCUAUAUUAAUUCUAGACUCUCAAGAAAUUCCCACGUAAAUUAGAUUUUACGAGCCGUUCAUCUAACGUGGGACCGAGUUAUUAUGGUGUAGAUCCAAUCGUAAAAUUCUGAGCCAAAAAAAGAUUCUAUCAUCUAUAGAAACACAAAACUAAAAAAAAAAAACAUAUCUCAAUCUAUACAUAUACCAGUUAUUGUGGUAGAUAUUCUGGUAAUGUAAUGACUGCCUAAAAAGUACCACGUAUAUCUCUCCGUCUCUCCUAAUCUCUCAUGGCUCAUUCUUUUCUGUAGGUCCCCGUCCCAAAAUCUCACAUCUCAUAUCUCACGACUCUCCUUCCUCUAUUCUCUAGGUCAGCAAAGGAAAAAAAGAACCACGAUCUCAGAAGCCCAGCUGUCCUCGGCGGCCACCGUCCUCUCGAUACGAAGGGAGUUCUUCAUCGUCUAUAGCUCCCCGGCGGCGAUUUUAGAAGCCUAGCCCAUGACAUGACGCCUUCUACCAGCAUGGCUCCAUGCCUAGACACAAACAUCCUCACGACAGGAGAGGGGCACCAACUGUCUAAAGACAAACCACCCUAAGGUUAGAUCUUACAAUUUGUCAUGCCAAGUCAGUCAUCUAUGCUUUCUCCUGACCUCAUCUCUCUCAGAUUUUCUGCUAAUGUUUUUUGCAUAUAACUCCGUCACUCUUUCCAUACCAGGUCGGCACGUCUAGAUUUAUUAAUGUUUCUUCUUGCAUCACGUGGAGAAGGAACUGUCAUGAGCAAUCAUUAUCUAGAUCAAUUCGUUUUUCACCUAUUAUACUUGGAUCUGGUUUAUGUUUCUCAUGUUUAUUCCUAAUAAAUAGUCCAUGAUUUUGGUCCCUUUUUCAGGGCUUCUUUCUUAGAUUGCUCUUCUCCUCAUAAUAUACCACUUCUCAUGUUCUAUGCAUCAAUCUGUCAUACAAUUACAAUCUCCCCCUCCUGGCUUUCAAACAUGUAUAAUUGCUUUGCUGCCAGUACUGUUCUGACCCUGUCUUGGCCUUGAAUUUGAUGAACAAGAGUUAGUUCUUCAGUGAGACGACCAGCUGUAGUUGGUUGCGAGAUAGAUCAUAAGGCAUGGAAUAGAUGUUCAUGGUGUUUGUUAUCUCCAGAUCAUGUGAUAUAUAGAGCUAGCAUAGUGGCCGGUCCAAAAUUGAGCAGAUUUUUCGCUGGAUAUCACACUGCCUAAAUUUUCUUCACUUAUUAAAACAUCUGUAAUCUCCCCCCUCCUGGCUUUCAAACAUGUAUAAUUGCUUUGCUGCCAGUACUGUUCUGACCCUGUCUUGGCCUUGAAUUUGAUGAACAAGAGUUAGUUCUUCAGUGAGACGACCAGCUGUAGUUGGUUGCGAGAUAGAUCAUAAGGCAUGGAAUAGAUGUUCAUGGUGUUUGUUAUCUCCAGAUCAUGUGAUAUAUAGAGCUAGCAUAGUGGCCGGUCCAAAAUUGAGCAGAUUUUUCGCUGGAUAUCACACUGCCUAAAUUUUCUUCACUUAUUAAAACAUUAUUGAAACAUCAGGUUAGAGAAGAAACCUUUUGCCACCGCAAAAAAACCGAGAAGAAACCUUUUGAAAAUUCAUCAACCACCUGACUGGAUGGAUUGUGCACCACAUAUCAGGCUAGCGUGGAGUCCUACCAUCAACUUCUCUGAUUCUUCUAUAAAUAGAACUUCUGCGCUCCUUCUCUUCUCAUGUGAAAGUCAUAUGCGAGUACACAGCAACGUGUCCCAAUGAAAGUACCAAUAACAUACAUGUCAAUCUUUUUUCAAUCUAAUGUUUAUGUUUCCGAAUGAUUGCCUAUUCUGCUUCUAAUCAUGGUGAUGUCAAACAACAGUGUACAAAGUGUGCCUUCACUGGGACAGAAUAUCAUAAUGUAACAAAUACACAGGAAUACUACCACUUCAUCCAGCAACAGUGGUAGUAUACUCAGCGUUGACUGUGUAUGUUUGCAUGUAUGCGCAGUUUAAUAUACGAUCCAGGCUUACACAUCUGAUCUAUGUAUCAAGACAAUAUGUGGUCAGCUCAGAGAUCGUCGUAACUUCUGGCGGAAUAGGUAUGUGUUAUACUAACUCCUUUUGUAUGCUUUUGAUGUUAAUUUACUAAUUAUAUUCGUAGAAUUUAUCUCAUCCUUAGUUAAAUAGAAGGCAUGAAUAGGCGUAAAAGUUAUAAUGGUUAGGUGCAAGAUUAAGGUGUGAAUGCAUUUUUUGUCGGUCUGCAUGUAAAUAUGUUCUAUAGUUAUAUCUGAAUCAUUUGUUUCCUCAUCAUGUUCUAUAGUUUAUCGAGUCUUCAUUCAUGGUUAUACCUGAAUCAUUUGUUUUUGUUCACCAGGUUCUAUAGUUAAUCAGGUAUCGUAGUUUUAUUUUAUUUGAUCUGAGCAUGAUCUAAUAAGUAAAAUCACAAUAGUCUGACAUGUAAAAUGCAAGAAGGCACAAAAACUUAUUUUUGGUACUAUAGUUCACAAAUAUCAGAAGUCUCCUGCCAGCAAAGAUGUUUUAGCAGAGAACCAGUGGCAAUCUCAGCGAUGAUGUGUCCAUUUAUAUGGUUGAAAGUCACCACAGUUAACAUGUCCUCCUCAUUAUAUAUGUACCAAUGUGCCUAUAGUUUUAAGUUGAUGCAGUUCAUGAACAUUGUACUUCAUACAGAUCUCAUGGUGAUUUAGAAUAUUCUUAUGGUGUGUUUGGCUGUUAUUUUCUGAAAGAUUGUAGCAUUAUCUACCAGAUUUUUCUCUUUCUCUCCACAAUUCUUAUGUGGUUGACUGUUUUACUAAAGAAUUGAAAUUAAACUUUUUGAUUAA